ACUGUAGGCUGCAACUCGCCUACACGAAGUCGGAAUCGCUAGUAAUCGCGGAUCAGCAUGCCGCGGUGAAUACGUUCCCGGGCCUUGUACACACCGCCCGUCACACCAUGGAAGUUUGCAAUGCCCAAAGUCGGCGGCCUAACCAUUUGGAGGGAACCGCCUAAGGCAGGGCAGAUGACUGGGGUGAAGUCGUAACAAGGUAAC
This 204-nucleotide ribosomal RNA is filed under the name uncultured bacterium. RNAcentral describes it as "partial 16S ribosomal RNA". It matches the Rfam family "Bacterial small subunit ribosomal RNA", at positions 1297 to 1500 of the family's 1533-position model. The record is from RNAcentral.